AGGUUAUCCAGAGUAUCGUAUUUAUAUUUUUACCACUGGGAGAAAGCGUGCAUCUGACUAACCAAAUCUAUUGCUACUACCCGUUAGGCUACAACGAAUGUUUCUCGAUGUGAGUGAUGUAUAGAGAAGACUGCAACUGUAGUCUCGUUCUAUGCCUUGGUAAGGAUGAUCUACUGUUCUAUUGGGGAAGCUUACGGAAUCU
Molecule: long non-coding RNA, 202 nt
Filed under: Sorghum bicolor (sorghum)
Lineage: Eukaryota; Viridiplantae; Streptophyta; Magnoliopsida; Poales; Poaceae
Description: long non-coding RNA (SBIC_LNC004580)
Source: RNAcentral